GAUUGGGCCAGGCUUUACUCGAGGUGUAUUUUUAGUCAGGGUGUGACAGUCAUUUCUCCAACUACAGUGACACACAUAGUGACGGCUUCUGCUUCCACACUUAUCCCGAUGGCCUCGGAUGUGGAGCACCUGGGCCCGGCACUCCACACCGGAUAUAUAAGCAGCUUACAGUGGCCUCGAUCUCUCUCUGUCUCUCGCUCCCCAUGACAGACCGGCGUUGCUUGUGUGAGCGCACUCUCAAACACACCGUUCACAUUACUGAUCAUACGGACUCUACACAUCUCCUUCUUACUUUCGGCACUUUUAGCUCCGUCUCUUUAUCCUUUUCAGGAUGUGGUGCAACAGAAAGUUGUCUCUUGGAUUUAACCGACUCCUUAUGAGAAGAAGCACAGCCUAUAGAGAGGACAAGGGGACAGAUUACUCCAAUUAUUUUCGGAAAGUAAAACUGAGCAUUUAAGCUUGUUUUCUUCUCUAUUAAAGCAAGAUAAAUUCAGGACAUCUUUAAGGUAGUAUUAAAGAAAAAACUGCUUAACUAAGACUUUUUCACAAACUCUGCAUGUUCUCUUUAACCUCCUUCAGCCACAGAAAGUCAUGAUGACCUUUUACUUUCCCAUUACCCUAUACUGUCAAAGUAUACCAUUAAACUAAUCUGGAUGUUUUCAUGUUUUUUUCUCUUGUGAAUGAGUCUCUGUACGAUGAUCCAGAUGAAUUUGCGCUCAAACUACUGUCAAAAUCUCAGUUUAAUAUGUCCAACGUAUCCUCCAUCAUUUUUUUCCGGCAAAGGGGCAGAAAAAAAACAGUUACUUACUUUUGGGGCUUUUUCGCAUUCAUUUAUUGAGACAGCUUGGGGUGUCCCAAAUCAUGCUGGAAUUGGAGUUUGAACCCGUGACCGGUGUAACAAGGACCAUAUGCUGCAUUCCAGUUACCUCAGAAGUCGGAUGUCGAAACUGGGAAUGACGUUACACCCGAUGUUGACCGCGUUCCAGUAAACAAGUCGGAAAACCAAGAUGAAUGCCUUCUGUUAGCUGUUGUUUACAUUUGUCCGCUGUCCUUAGUUGUUGUCAGCUGUUCUCAGUUGUUAGCAAUACCAAUUGUAAACAACGCAUAUCACAGUAUUUUACUCUUACAAACACCAUAGCACCGUGUUCACAGUUAGUUGUUUGGCAGUACAACAAAAAACACUUAUUUAAUUUCACAAAAAGAAAACAGAAGUGCUGAUAAAUGUUACAUUACAAGAGCUUUUACUGUUACUCUUGACUGUUGAUGCACUGCGCUGCCAUCUUGGAUUGUGAUGUUGUCGUCAGAUCGAGGUCGGUGAGGAUCGUCCAACUUUCCGAGACUUAAGGGGGGCGUUCCAGAUGAAUUUAAGCUUGGAAAUCCCGACUUCCGGGUAUAACUGGAACGCAGCAAUAGCCUCCAAUUAUGGGGCACAGUUACAGAGACAGUUUUUUACAUCACAUUUAACCACAUUUUCGUCCCUAUCAGCUUUGUGUCUCUUAAUUUGAUUCUCUAUACAUAAAAAUAUUUUAAAAUAUGCGCUUCUACGUCACCAAACGGUGUAUUUAUAGUUACAUCUCAACUUAAAAUGGACCUUUAAACGGCUUUAUUCACUUUCCUGAAGGAGCGUUCGCUUGUAAGUGUGCUCAUUAACACUUCAAACCCAAUUCUCUUAGUAAGUAAUUCAUUUAUUCAGAGCACUGACUCAUAAUCUCACAUUGUGCCUUCAGAUGAGUCAUUACGGUUCAUAACUGCUCACCUGUUUUCUCCUUUUGUGAGAGAAACAGGCUUUUAUAACCUUUUGUAUUCUGCAGGUGGUUAUUUGAGAAUUUCACGCGGCUUAUCCCUGACCCCAAAAAUAAUCUCCCGACAGCUGCAGCAGCCUACAGAAAAAAUCACGCUGCAAUGUGAUUUGCAAUGUCAGUAACAAUAAUUAUUUCAGGCUUUAAACCACAGAAACCCAGAUGUCACUUGUGUUCAGCGUGUGGGGGAGAGAGGCUCGGCUUCAAAGGGGAAAUUUCUCUGAUUCACUGUCGUGUUUCAUCAAUCUGCGCUUUUCAUCUCUCUCCAAAAGUUAUUUCGUGAUGCAGGGUCCGCUGACCUUUUCCGUGUCCAGUGAUCCCUCGGCCUGGCUCCCGCCUCCCAAAAACCGUCUUUUGUUCUCGGAUUUGGUUCGUGCAGCCAGGUUGUGAGAGGCAGCAACAGUUCGAAAAAGAGGAAACAGCUUUUAUACUCAAAGCAAUUAAAACAGCUGGUAGAGAUUCGUUUAUCAUCUGAACAAGCUGGAAAAGAGCCGUCUCUGGCCAGCUGGUCCUCAGAUGAAUUACUUGAAUGGGCCGCCUGAGUGUCUACAGUAUUAGGAGACUAUGUCGAGGGAUCCAUCAUCUUAUAAUGCGUCCAUUCGUGUGCCCCCCCAAGAUUUCUUCAAAGUUAUUCAAAGUAAUGGGAUGAGAAAAAAAAAUGCAAUUCUGCUGCGAGAAAAGAAAAUUUAAGAGGGCGACUCGGCAUGCAGCCUGUGACGACGCUAAAUCACUCUUGGUAUAGAUCGAGUCGAGCGAAGGACACUGACCUUGAGAGCUUGACAAGUUGUAGUCGUAAGAGGAAACAAGUGCAACUAAAGAUAAGAGAAGUCCCAAACUCAACUGAUAUGGAGGAUAAAAAACAAGCAGAGAUGGUUUUGCAAGCAUACAUGACAAUCUUUGUGCAUAUUUAUCAUAUUCAGACCUACGAAAACUUCUCUAAGACCCAAGAAACAGGAAGUCCUAUUCCUCUCAACCAUACUGCUCCAAUCUGACCCAAACCCACUUUGAUAUCUUAGGAGUCCAGGCCUGUAUGCAUUCAUGUGGCAAUAAUCAAUUCCAGUCACAAUGCCCCCUAGUGGCAAAAGGAAAUUCAAUGCCUUUACUCCUCAAACCGAAGCUUAAAAUUCAACAUUAAAUUUCCAACUGUUUCAGCUACAUCGACGUUAUGGCACAAGAUUGGGUUUAUGUUCCAGUCUGGAUACGUCCAUUUUUGAAUGUUUCAACAGGAAUGUAAACCUUCCAGUAAAGGAGGCAAGACACUUCAAUUGACAUGACAAACUCUGUGGUUGCUCCACACCCUAAAAUCUGCCAUACCAUACUAAAAUCUGUCCAAGAUCCCCUUUUAUUGCAAAACAUCGGUGUGUCUACUAAAUCACAAACUUCUCAGCUUUCACGUGCCCCAAUACUCAAAGUUGGUUCAUGCAUCAGGCCAGGUGAAAAUUUGGAUAUAUUACGGCUUCUGCACUAAACCAUACAAACAAAAACCGUGCUCCUUAGUGCCCCCUAUAAGCCCCUCAUGUAUCACACCAAAACCAAUAAAAAGCCUCUUAUCAUCAUUGUUCCACAAAUCCUUGUUGUAUUGGGUGUUCACAUUUGGUAUCGUCAUUGUACUUCAUUUUGAUUUUUGGUAUUUUCAUGGUUUAUGUUUUGAGGAAACAAUUUGUUGGGAUGAAUCUUCUUGUGCCUUGUUGGGUUUUUUUUGUCCCACUGAGGCUUUUUAGUCCAUUUUUCAUCACUUCUGUAAAUGCUAAGAAUUUGCGGUCGAAAUGGUGAAGAUGUUUUCUGCAGUUGGUCCGACUUUUUGCACGUCGAUUGUAGUUUCUUGGAGAGCUGUUGGGAUGAUGUUCGGGGUUUGAAUAUAUUCCAAACAGUGGGAAUCUCAUUGAUAUUCAAAAGCUGAAAUCAUUUAGUAUUCGAGCAGUUUUUCCCUCCUCCAUUAAUUUGAAGUGGCGACCCGCCACCCUUGCCGAACCCCUUGCAACUCCAGAAUGCACAAAAUAUGUUGUCCGUGGAAGUUCUGUGAUUUAUGUGCAGUCAUUUCAGUUGGGUCGGGUUGAUGAGGUUCCCUGCACCGAGCCAUCUCUCUGCUGCUCUCUGUUAUACGUGUGUGUUCCUACUGAAGGCAGGGCUCGUUCAUGCUUCACACUCUCAGCAAAGGCUUGAUUUUCAUGAAAGCGAGCACGUUAACAGGUCAGAGCUCUCAGACUGCCGGCAAGAAUCCAGAGAGUGGAAUACUUGCCUAUUUUUACCAUGAGUUGGACACUUUGCAGGCAUGAAAAUAAAAUACGGUUAUCCUAUCUGGAUGCUUUUCAAAAUAAAAGCCUGAUUCUUUUAAGUCACUGCCCUAGUUUCAUCCUGGACAGUUAUCGAGUGAAUAAUGAAACUUGUGAUGCUCUUUUUGGCUUUUGGUCAUAAAUAUGCAAAUUGUGUUUUUGUUGCGUACCACGUGACUUCAUGAACAAGUAAGUUUUCUGACUCCUAAACACAGAAUUAAAAUCAUGACGGUGUAGGUUUGGGCUGCCAGAUCUGUUCGGGGCCUAGCGCCUGUUGAAGAUGUCACACUACGGCAAGUCCAUGAAGACAAACUACGUUGCGCUCCAUUUAAUAAGUCAAAAGUGUUCAGUUAGAAGCCCCUCGCGUUUUUUUUAUUUCUGUUUGACCUCGAAACGUACAAAUUACUGUGCUGUAAUUUUUAGAUGGUUUUAAUUGUAGAUGUUAAAUUUUCUGAAGGAAAGAGAAAAAAAAUAUAUACACAGGAUCUCCAUUUAUCAGUAGAUAGUUUUGCUCAUAGUUAGAUUGUUUAGUUUUAUUCCACAUUACCGCUUACCGUAAUGUCUGGACCAACCACAAUGUUCUUCGUCAUCCAAACCAACUUUUAACCAAUCAUAUAGCGUAAUGUCACCAGGAGGCACCGGGCCCUGAGCCAAUCUGGAAGCCCGAACACAUCUGGUACCUACUCCGGAAAACAAGAUAGUGCAGCCAUGGAGACCAACAGAACAAGUUCAGUAAAAAUUGAGCAUAAAUUUUUUAAAUCUAACUCUAAAGUCUAAAAUAAUACAAAAUGAAUUUUAAAUUGUAGAUUAGGAUUGACUGCCCUUGUGUUUUGUGCUGUCUAGGCCACCGUAGCAAAGUGGAAUAACCUCUGUAAAAGCUGAAUAUUACCAUUUUUAAUAAACACAUUUAGCUUCUUUUAAACAAUGGCAGAUUUUAUAUAAAGCAAAUAUAUUUGGAUUCACAACAGAGAUCAAAACUGUUACAAAGGUGUCGGUUAAGCUUAAAUUUCUAUGAUUAUAAACAGUGAGUAAACUCCAGAUGUGUGGGUGUAGAUGGAUUGACUUUAAAGCUGUUAAAUUAAUUAUAUUUUAGAAAGCAUUAAUGGCACAAGGCCAGAAUUUAACUACAUCAAUAUGCAUUUGCCAGUUGGACCAAAAAUCUCCCAUAAAUUUCUAAUUUCUGUCACAGAAAAGAAAAAGUAAAAGAGAAAUAAGCUACAGCAAACCCGCUGUGAUGGUAAGUCAUCCCUGAAGGGUGUAAAAAUGGCAAAAGAAAAUACAUUAAUUAAAAACUCUCUGUUUUUUCAGGCUGGAUUCGUACCAAUUAUGUUAAUUUUAAAAAGUGUUAGCAGCAUUUUCAGCUGAACCAACGCCAGGUGUAAUCACUUAGCGACUAGAAAGAAACAAUCUUUUCUUACUUCUCUAAACCACAGAGCUCAUUAGAAGUUUCCAUAGUAACCACACAUGUAUAUGACCUGCCCUCUUAAUUGAUAAAAGUCCUCUCUCUGAUACUUGAUAAUGUGUUGAACUGUCAUCUUCACCUCCGUCUACAAACGAGUCUCUCUAAUGAUCACCUGGAAGUCGAUCAGCUCUGCAGGCUCUGCUGAUACUCAGAUCCACCUUAAUGGAAUCCCACCCACAACCGC
This 5718-nucleotide long non-coding RNA is filed under the name Xyrichtys novacula (pearly razorfish). The record is from RNAcentral. Lineage: Eukaryota; Metazoa; Chordata; Actinopteri; Labriformes; Labridae.